Small nuclear RNA from Mus spicilegus (steppe mouse), 108 nucleotides. The record is from Ensembl. NCBI's taxonomy places the organism in Eukaryota, Metazoa, Chordata, Mammalia, Rodentia, Muridae.
GUGCUCGCUUUGAUAGCCCUCAUACUAACAUUGGAAUAAUACAGAGAAGAUAUGUACAGGCCUCUGAGCAAGGAUGGCACAAAGUCAAUAUUUUUUUUAAAAGUCUUA